RNAcentral lists this ribosomal RNA (492 nucleotides) under uncultured bacterium. RNAcentral describes it as "partial 16S ribosomal RNA". It matches the Rfam family "Bacterial small subunit ribosomal RNA", at positions 30 to 507 of the family's 1533-position model. The record is from RNAcentral.
AGUGAACGCUGGCGGUAGGCUUAACACAUGCAAGUCGAACGGCAGCACAGUAAGAGCUUGCUCUUACCGGUGGGGAGUGGCGGACGGGUGAGGAGUACAUCGGAAUCUAGACUUUCGUGGGGGGUAACGAAGGGAAACUUAAGCUAAUACCGCAUACGACCUACGGGUGUAAGCAGGGGAUCGUCGCACCUUGCGCGAUUGAAUGAGCCGAUGGCGGAUUGGCUAGUUGGCGGGGUAAAGGCCCAGCAAGGCGACGAUCCGUAGCUGGCAUGGGAGGGUGAUCAGCCACACGGGAGCGGGGACACGGUCAAGACGCCUACGAGAGGCAGCAGUGGCGAAUAUGGGACAAUGGGGGGAAGCCUGGUCCAGCCAGAGCGCGUGGGUGAAGGAGGCCUUCGGUGUGUAAAGACCUUUUUUUGGGAAUGAAAAGCAGCAGGUUAAGACCCCGCGUUAGUGACGGUACCCGAAGAAGAAGCACCGGCUAACUACGUG